AUGAACGCUAGCGGGAGGCUUAACACAUGCAAGGUCAGGGGGUAACAGGGGUAGCAAUACCUGCUGACGACCGGCGUACGGGUGAGUAACGCGUAUGCAACCUGCCCUAUACAGGAGGAUAGCCCGGAGAAAUUCGGAUUAAUACUCCAUGUAGCAUUUUUUUCGCAUGAAUUAGAUGUUAAAGAUUUAUCGGUAUAGGAUGGGCAUGCGUCCCAUUAGCUAGUUGGUGAGGUAACGGCUCACCAAGGCAUCGAUGGGUAUGGGGUCUUAAAGGAUGGUCCCACACACUGGCACUGAGACACGGGCCAGACUCCUACGGGAGGCAGCAGUGAGGAAUAUUGGUCAAUGGGUGAGAGCCUGAACCAGCCAUCCCGCGUGCAGGAUGACGGUCCUAGUGAUUGUAAACUGCUUUUCUAUGAGAUGAAUAAGAAUUACGUGUAGUUCGAUGACCGUAUUAUAGGAAUAAGCAUCGGCUAACUCCGUG
Molecule: ribosomal RNA, 484 nt
Filed under: uncultured bacterium
Lineage: Bacteria
Description: bacterial SSU rRNA
Rfam family: Bacterial small subunit ribosomal RNA
Source: RNAcentral